GAGUCAUUCUGAUAGAUCUGAGCACAAGAGAGCUUCAGAGGCUUUAUCUGGUGAUAAUGAAAUGAUUGAAAAGUGAAGAACUGAUGAAAUAUUGUGAACUAUAACUUCUGUGUAGUUAUCAUGGCUAUCAGGAAACAAAAACCUAAGGAGAGGGAAGGGAUUAGAAGUUGAUGACUGAGGACAACUGAGGACUGUAAAGACCCUUGGCUUUUCUCAUAAUCUUCUUAAGAGAAGUGCAAACAUUUUGAAUUCCUCUACACUGAUUGAAACAGAA
This 274-nucleotide long non-coding RNA is filed under the name Anas platyrhynchos platyrhynchos (common mallard). Its description in RNAcentral is "lncRNA (ENSAPLG00000029920.1)". Lineage: Eukaryota; Metazoa; Chordata; Aves; Anseriformes; Anatidae. The record is from RNAcentral.